CCCUAUGCAGUGGCACACUCAUGAACCUACUCUAUUUCUGUCACCCCGGUGGAAAUGUUCACGGCUCUGUUGUUAUUGAAAGUGAUCCUUUGUAGUUUUCCUCUAUUGGGCGUUCAAUUACAAGAAACCUCAAGUCUCUCAACAAUGCAUUAUACACUUCUGAACGGGGCACUCUGUGGUGCCUAGUUCAUCAAAAAUACUCAGCAUUUCCUGUGCUCUCCUUCACACAUCUGAAACCUCAGCACACGAGCAGUUCUGAGAAUUAACAUCAUAGUGUGACAUUCUUUUCAUGAGGAAUUAACCCCUCUGACACUUAAGCUAAGGGUUUUCCUUAUUGAACUCUAACCCACCACCAAUUUGUAGGAAAAUGAAAGCAAUACUCAACAUGAGCGAAGCACUUGUAAUAAUUUCUAAAGACUGGCUAAUGAGUGUGUUUGUGUGCAUGCCUUUUAAAGUAACAGUUUACCCAAAAAUGACAAUUCUAUCAUCAAUGGCUUACCAUCAUGUCAUUCCAAACCUCAUAUUACUUUUUUAUUAUUCUGAGGAUCAAAAGCAUACAUUUUUUAAGAAUAUACUGUUACGGCCUGAGCCUUAUGUUAAUCUGUGUACUGUUUUGGCUGAUCUGAUUCUCUCUCUCUGAAUAGACUCCGCCUCUGCACACCUGCAGCCUGUUUUGGGCUGGAGAUAUAAUGGGAGAGCGGAAGGAGAAUCGGGGGGUUGUUGAUCACCUACGAUUUGUUCCCAUAGCGGAGUGAUCGUUUUUCGAUCACUGUUUAGCCCUGUCGAGAGCUUGGCGUGCACUGGAGGAGAAGGGCAUGAGUGGACGAACGAGAGAACGAACGAUUGAGAGCCCUGUGUGAUCCAGUGACAAAUGCUGCAGGAAGCUUUCCAUCACGAGUGCUGGUCGGUGAUCAGGUUACUCCAGGAGUGGUGGCUGGUGAGAUUUCAUCCGGGUAUCAGUCACUCACCCUGCCAUGAGGAAUAUGUUAAAGAGGUUGCCUGCCAGUUGACAGCCUGACCUUCAGUGGAUUGGACUGAAUUUGGACAGCGAUGAGGCAGAGAUCAUGAACCACUUACCUGAGAACACUGACCCACUGAACAUCAUGAGUCACACUGCCAUUGACAGCACUCACAACUGUGGCAGUGAUGUCACCUACAAAGCUGAAUGGGUCAGAAGCAACUGAAUGUGUAAUAUACUUCUCUUAAAUGGAGAUUUGGUGCUUGUAAUCCAUAUCUAUUAGCUUUGAGGCCAUCUCAUGUUAGUGUUCUUAAAGUGGACCAUAUUAACUUUGAGAAGAUUUAUACAUUUAUAAUUAACCAUCUUUAGUCUCAUCUUGGAAAAUUGGCCAAAUCUUGUACAAUCUUGCACUCACCCAUUUUUUUUCAAUAAAGAAUGAGAAUGUCCCUUCCUCAACCUACUUCUGACGGGCAAGUCUUUGACCUUGUGGCCAAUGCAACUACCCCAACAUAAAAAUGUGUGGUGCAAGAAAGAAUCACGUUUCCUUCUCUGUCCCCUUUGUUUGCUAUCUUUCUCAACUAGUGUUCAUCAAUUAAAUGUGUCAAAAUGUCCAAACAUAAAAACAGUAGCUACAGUAGUCAUAUUCAUGGCUAUGACGUAAAUUAAACUAAUAAUUUGUUAUUUUUUUAAAUAACAAAGUAUUUAAAAAAUAAUAAUUUUUUCAGUAGGAAAUACCUCAACACAGGAAUGAAAACUGCUUGUCAAGCAAAUUGAUUAUGUCUUUAAUAAAACUAAGAGCUUAAGCACAGUAUGCACAGUUUAAUCCCAGAUUGACCCCAGUGGGCCGUUAUACUAACAUAUGCAUAUUAAUCUGUGACCACAUUUGAAAUCUAUGAUAACAAGGAUGAUAAUGCCCUUAUGUUUUGAUUAUUAGGAGAAUGUUCAUAUAUAACAAGAUGGCUUAAGUGCAAUAAAGGCUGUUCCUCUUUGUGCAAUGCGUUUUCUAGUGCAGCCUCAAAAAAGCACUGUUUAAUGGAAUUGCUUCAGGUCUGCUGUUGGGGAUAGAGAUGCCUUCGUUUAGAUUAAUAUGACAGGAGAUGGGGUUAUAGGAGGGCACAGCCAAUCUGGCUAGACUGUUUCGUCAGUGGAUUCUCUCAUAAUCCUAUUUCUCUGACUGCCACCUUCACCAUGUGACUGCUUUUGUAACAGAAACCAUGAAUCUCCUGCCAAAAGACAGCUAAGGGCUUCAUGAAUUGUAAACUAAAUAAAAAUUAAAUAUGAAUGAUGAAAUAAAUGCUGAUGCAGGAA
Xyrauchen texanus (razorback sucker) is the source of this 2266-nucleotide long non-coding RNA. RefSeq lists it as uncharacterized. NCBI's taxonomy places the organism in Eukaryota, Metazoa, Chordata, Actinopteri, Cypriniformes, Catostomidae. The record is from RefSeq and is a predicted model, not a curated record. The transcript has 3 exons.